Molecule: long non-coding RNA, 4121 nt
Organism: Pan troglodytes (chimpanzee)
Lineage: Eukaryota; Metazoa; Chordata; Mammalia; Primates; Hominidae
Exons: 3
Source: RefSeq, a predicted model, not a curated record
AAAUUGGCAGACAGGAAGGGCACGAGCAGGGACUCUGGCUUCGCAGAGGGUCCCUUUUCCUCCCUUUUUUCCUUUUCACCCAGUAAAACCCUGCUUUACUCACCCUUCAAACCGUCUGCAAGCCUACAUUUUCGUGGCCGUGGGACGGACAAGGACCCCGUGGUUGGCUGAACUAAGGGAAAGUCCUGUAACAGGAACAGGGAAGGAGGUCUGCUGAGGGUCCGGAGAUCUUGCAGCUGAACUAAGGGAAAGUCCUGCAACAGGAGCAUGGAGGGAGGUCUCUGCUGCGGGUCCGGAGAUCUUGCACAAGAGGCAGGGCUUCAGGUCAGACUUGCAGGAUGAGUAGGUGAUGGGCAGGGGCGUGGGAGUGGGGAGGGGAGGAAGUGGAAACAGCCUGGAUCCAGGAAAGAGAGGCAGAAGGCAAAUGCCCGGAAAACGCACAUCAUUCCCUGGAGCUGGAGGGAGAAGACCAGCACACAAGAGGCGGAGAGUACAAAUGGGAGACGAAACGUGUGCUGGAUCCUGGUCACAAAGGAGCUGCUGUUCCCUUCGAAGGAGGGGACACUACCUUGAAAAGCUACAGAGGGAUUUCAAGCAGAGAAGAGCUGCAACCUGAUGUGUCAAUCUGAAGAGCACUCUUUGUCAUUUAUGAGUAAGGAAACGUUGGAACUUUAAGAGACACAGAGCGACGUCUGCAUACUUCCUUUUGUAUGGCAACUUCCUGUAUUAAGGGGGUGAAUAAACCAUGGUUGAAUUCAGGCCUCAAACUCCUUGGGAGGAAGCAGAGUUCAUGCCAGACAGAAAGGAGGCGGGAGUUCCCCCAGUUCAAGGUGCACACAGCUGGGACCUGGGGUACACAGCACCUCCUUCGCUCCUCUGCCGUCUCCGCAGUCGGACCUGGCCAAGAGGACUCUGCUACUGGACUCUGCACUCUGCACUCUGCACUCAGCCUCCUGAUUCAAAACUCCACAUAGGGAGUGGCCAGCAUAGCUUGAUUACUGUCUAUUGAGUGUUCAUCAUAUGCCAGGCUAUUUCAAUGCUGAGUGGCUUUAAAACUCCCAGCUGAAACCAUGUACAUACACAUGGGAAUUCGUCUCAACAGUGCAACUGGAACUGUAUUUCUGCAUGUUGUCAUUGAUAUUUGAAUAGUCAUCCGGCAGGUUUGCAUUCAUGAUCUCAUUUGUGUCUCUGGAACUGAAUUAGGUUAAUGUAUUCCUGGAACCCAACAUGGAGACUUUAAAAGGUAAAAUGCAUACAAAAUAGGACAAUGUCCAUUGAUGAUAAUUCUACACCAAAGAUUUUCAGUCAAACCUAUGUCAGAUUCUUCUCUGGACAAACUCAGAACUCUCCAUGCCUUAGAUUAGCAGCCUUCCGUUCCGCCCUGUGCUGGAACACCCUGGCUCAUGAGAACAGGAGGACGCAGGAUCCCAGCCCUGCAUUCAGGGGAGUCGCGUUACUUGGCCAGGAUGGAUGGGUUGAGCAUCCCCUAUCUGAGAUGCUUGGGACCAGAAGUGUCUUGGAUUUUGGACUUUGGAACAUUUGCCUAUGCAUAAUGAGAGAUCUUGGGAUGGUACCCAUGUCUAAACACAAAUUCCUUUAUGUUUCAUGUACACCUUCUAAACAGAGACUCAAGCAUCAUUUUAUGCAAUAUUUUUAGUAAUUUCAUGCCUGAAACCAAGUUUUUUAAAAAUUAUUUUUACUUUUAUAGAUUUGGGAGCUACAACUGUAGUUACCUUACAUGGCUAUAUAGCAUAGUGGUGAAGUGUGGGCUUUUAGAGAAACCCUCACUAGAAGAGUGCAUGUUGUCCCUAAUAGGUGAUUCUUUGUCUCUCACCCCGCCCACCCUCCUACCUUUUUGAGUCUCCGAUGUCUAUUAUCCCACUCUCUAUGUCCACGUGUACAUGUUAUUUAGCUCACACUUAGAAGUGAGAACAUGUGAUACUUGACUUUCUGUUUCUGUUAUAUUUCACUUAAGAUAGCAGCCUCCAGUUCUAUCCAUGCUGCUGCAAGAGACAUGAUUUCAUUCUUUUUUAUGGCUGACUAGUAUUCCAUGGAGUAUACACCACAUUUUCUUCACUCAAUCCUCCACUGAUGAACACUUAGGUUGAUUCUCUAUGUUUGCUAUUGUGCAUUGAUUGCAUUUUGACUGCGACCCAUCCCAUGAGGGUGGGUGUGAAAUUUUCCACUUGUAUCAUGUUGGCACUCAAAAAGUUUCAGAUUCUGGAACAUUUUGGAUUUUGGAUGUUUGGAUUAGAGAUACUCAACCUCUAUUUACACCAUGUGUAUUAGUUUCCUAGGCUACCAUGGCAAAGUACCACAAAGUGUGUGGCUUUAAACAAUAGAAAUGUAUUCUCUUCUAGUUCUGGAGGCCAGAAAUCUGGAACUGGGGUCAGCAGGGCUAUGUUUCCUCUGAGAUCCUGGGUAGAAGUCUUCUUUACCUCUUCCUAGCUUCUGAUGGCGGCGUCAAUCCCUGCCACUCCUUGGUUUGCAGACACGUUGCUCUAAUCUCCACCUCCAGAGUCACGUGGCAUUCUUGGUGGGUGUGUCUGUCUGUGUCUCUUCUCCUCCUCUUAUGAGGACACUAGUUGUAUUAAGAGCCCAUCCCACUCCAGUAUGACCUCAUUUUAACUAAUUAUAUCUGCAAUUACCCUAUUUCCAAAUAAGGCCACAUUCUGAGCUUCUGGGAGUUAAGAUUUCAACAUAUCUUUUUGAGGACACAAUUCAAAUUAUAACACUAUGGAAAUCAGCAAACACUACAAAUCAGGGCUUUAAGAAAAAUAAUUAAAAUGUAGAAUUUUUUAGAAUUGGUUUCCAACACAUCAGUGUGUUUGUCUGUCAUAUGACAUCAGGACAGGGCCACUCACCUCAAAUAUCACUUUUCCACGGGAAUUUUUCAUCAGAAAUUUCCACAUACUCCAAAUGGACUAUAUGCUCUCUGUCAGAGUAAGAUUUAAAGGUGACAACAUGCUAGUUAGGAUUUACCAGCCAUUUCUUAGCCUUUUAAACAUUUCUUAUAUGUGUUUCCACUAUAGAAAACUUAAAAAAUAUGGAAGAGUAGAAAGAGAAGUUAAAAAAAAUCAUUCAUAGUUUCAUCAUCCAAGGAGAGAGCUAUUAAUAAUCCUUGAAAAAUUUUCUUCAAAAAUAUUUUUGGAACUUUUUCUCACUUUUUCUUUUGCCAUUUAUAUUUUUUCUUUUGUGUUUAACCUGUUUGAGAACUUUGGCUUUUUUUCCUAAUGCUUUUUAUUAUAUAUAUAUUUUUAAAUGUAUGAGUAAUACAUGAACACACUUUCAGUUAAAACAGUAAGAUAAGCAAAAUCCAUCUUGACCACCGCCUCAAUCCCAGUCUUUCCCUCUGGAGGUAGACACUGUUACUAGUUUCAGGUAGAUCCUUCCAGACCCUUUUCAGUGCAUUUUAUGCAUUAAUAUUUUUGUUCAUACAUAAACCAUAUCAUAUGAUGUAUUUCUAUGCCGUAGUUUACUCCUCCCCCACUCACUAAAUUGUAUGUCCUUGACAGCCUUUCAUAUUAGAUUUAACUUGUUCUCUUUAACUGCUGCAACAUAUUUCAUGCUAUAAAUAAGUCACAAUUUAUGUCAUUGUUCUCCUGUUGCUGAUUUUUAGAUUGGUUUUGAUCUUUCAUGAUUGCAAUUACGAAGCAAUGAAUGUCCUUUUACAUGACUCUUUGUGCCCACGUACAAGCGUUUCUCUAGGAUAAAUAACAAGAAGAAGAAUUUUUAACUUGAAGAGUAUUUAUAAUUUUAAUAUCAUGCCAAAUCCCCUUUAAAGUAAUACCAAUACACCUUUCUACUCUAUCCAUUUCUCCACAUCCUAACCAAUACAAACAUUAUAUUCUUUUAAAAGUUUGUUCAUCUGAUAGGAAAAACAUGGCAUUUUUCUGCUGCCGUUUUGGUUUGCAUUUUUAAGAGACUGCUGGUGAGGUUUACUGGCUGCUUAAUAUCUGUCUCAGUUUGGUCAAUUUCAGUGGGUCUUCAUGCAUAUGGAACCCAUCAGCCCCUCUUAAUGGCCUAAUCUGCAGUAGGUUUAAAGCUCAGGCCCUUGAAAUGAAACUUCAUGUAUUUAAUAAUUGGUGCAUUAUGGAAAUAAAGCUAGUGUUUCAUCUGAA